This 490-nucleotide ribosomal RNA is filed under the name uncultured bacterium. Its description in RNAcentral is "partial 16S ribosomal RNA". It matches the Rfam family "Bacterial small subunit ribosomal RNA", at positions 30 to 507 of the family's 1533-position model. The record is from RNAcentral.
AUUGAACGCUGGCGGCAGGCCUAACACAUGCAAGUCGAACGGUAACAGGAAGAAGCUUGCUUCUUUGCUGACGAGUGGCGGACGGGUGAGUAAUGUCUGGGAAACUGCCUGAUGGAGGGGGAUAACUACUGGAAACGGUAGCUAAUACCGCAUAACGUCGCAAGACCAAAAAGGGGGACCUUCGGGCCUCUUGCCAUCGGAUGUGCCCAGAUGGGAUUAGCUAGUAGGUGGGGUAACGGCUCACCUAGGCGACGAUCCCUAGCUGGUCUGAGAGGUUGACCAGCCACACUGGAACUGAGACACGGUCCAGACUCCUACGGGAGGCAGCAGUGGGGAAUAUUGCACAAUGGGCGCAAGCCUGAUGCAGCCAUGCCGCGUGUAUGAAGAAGGCCUUCGGGUUGUAAAGUACUUUCAGCGGGGAGGAAGGGAGUAAAGUUAAUACCUUUGCUCAUUGACGUUACCCGCAGAAGAAGCACCGGCUAACUCCGUG